CCGGGGCAGGGCGGCUCCGCGGUAAAAACAGGCGGCGGGCUGGCUGGAAGCAAGCGCCAGCGACUUCCCCGCGGGCUCUCGGAGGAGCACUCGCUUUUUCUUUUUUCUUUAUUAUUAUUUUUUAAAGGUUUUGAAGCGUUUUCAGAUUUUUUUUUUAUCUUUUUCUCUUUUUUGUUGCUUCAGGCUACUGAGCCCAAAAGCGGCUGUGCGGAGAGAACGAAUAAACUCUUCAUUAGGACCGCGCAUUGCUUUAUGGCACACGCCGGACACUGAGCUAGCCUCUCAGCUGCAAGUGCUUUCUCUCUGCAUGGCCUCCUCUACUAACUUCUUUAACGCUGCCUUCCAACGACACAGGAGCGUUUAAUCUUUAUGACUCCAAAUCUAUCGAUUAUCCCUUUAAUGGAUUUUGUGGGUUAAAAAGACCUUCUCAAUGCUACAAUUUAAAAAGCCUCUCAGUACAUUUUCUUUUAACACUUCUGUAGCUUUUAAUGUUUAAAUAUUUAAUGUAUUUUAAAACUUUUUGAGUUGUGAACAGUAAUUUUAUUUUCUCUCCAGUGGAUAACCAAUUGUCCCAGCAAAUUCACUGAGUAAUCCAUAUUUUCUUAACCUGAACAUGCCACCCAAGUGACAGCAUCUGCCCACAAAUGACGGAUCACCUGCAGCAUCAAGUGUUUCUCCAGGUUCACCACAGCCCUCUGCUCGGAUCUCCCUUAAACUCUUGAUGGAGCCAUCCUGUGAAUUUAUUCUUGUAGGGUAACUGUAUUAUCUCCUAAUGAACGCCCUCUUUCCACCUUCACUGUGGCUCCACAUAGGAAAGGAUUCUGCUGGGAAUCACACGGCCUGCACACAGACACACACACACGUACGUACACACACCCGUCGCAGAAAUGCCUACAGACAAUCUUAAGGCCCAAUGAACUUCUUCUAAAUCUUGUUCAGUUGGGUUAGCCCAUCUGCAGACAUCACUGAAACAGUGGGCGAAAGGAAAUAACCACACAAUGCAGAUAAGUGCUUCUAUUUUCCCAGAUCAUUGCUAAGGUCCUCACUCCCAGCAGCUCCUACAUUGACGUUUUUAAACACAUAAAUAUGUAUUCAAAAGCACCAUUAAAAUGAGUCAUUACAUUCUCAAUAGGAAGUUUACAAUAGGUGUGUUAGAAUAAUCACUAUUGUGCUUUAAAUUCUUUUUUCCUACACUCGAAGGCUGAACAUCAUAAUUUUGAUCUGAUUUCACAACCCUGUUUAAAAACUUAGCUCCUGCUGACUUCUGAUUGCUAAUCUGUUGUCCCAUCUUUAUCACAGCUCCUCGGCACACCAAAUGCAAAGAUGUGCAGUCGAUUUACUUCCAUCUGUUCCUACUUGAGUCGUUUAUAGUGCGUUACUCUGUGAUUACAGAUUUAAUUGCAGACCCAGGAGCAUCACAUUAUCAACAACAGAAACCCUCUGCACACCCCCUUCUCCACCAUCAACCCUGCACCAGGCUGCUCCUGCCGAAGGUGUGACCCUCCUCACUCCUUCAUUUCUCUUGGGAUCCUGAGAAACCGGGGCCAGAGAUGUCACCUGCAUAUCCCAGCAGGCAGAGGCCCAGGGGCCCCCAACAACACACAUGCAGGAGCAAGUGCGCGCGUGCGUCCACUCAGCCCUGUUUCCCUGGAGAAGAGUGACUCGUAUGGAUUUCAGUGACUCUCUGGAGGCACCACCACCCACGACUCUUCAGGACCCUCACAUCAACUACACCUAGGCUGGUGGCCAGAAAUGGAAAAGCCAACCCAAACUUGCUCAAUCUUAAGUGAUUUAAGGGUUCAUGUGACUGUGAGGCCCAGCAUCCCCAGUCUGUUUAUUUCCACCUCUUCCCCUGGACACGGGUUGCAUCCAAAAGCUGAUCACACCUCACAGUGGGAGGACGUUCUGGUUGGAUCCCAGAGAUGUCUUGUUCUCAUCAAGAAACAACAAGAGUGAAACCACAUUUCCAGAGCUGUGGUGGAGGAGGGAAGAGACCUCUCAGAGCCAGAGUCCCGUGGGGCUCAAAGGUUUGGACCAGGUGGUAUCCCCCACCUCGGAGGAUACAGCCUGCUUGCUCCGGGACCGAGGCCCCACAGAGGUAGAGGAGGCAGCUGUGGAAAAUCUAGCAGAAAUCAGGGACGUUACCAGUCACCUUGCAUUACCAAGGAAGUAAGGGAACAUCUGGGAGGUGACCACAUUAUAGGGCCUCUACUUGGAAUCUCCAAAAACUCUUAUGUGUCCCACAGAUGUUACAGCCAGAGACCCAUCUGAGUUACCCUGACACCAGUACUGACAAGAGCAGCUCGUCUUUCACAGUCAAACACAUGUCCCUUAGUCACAUAACUGCAUCACCCAAGACGGAGCCUGGCACCUGUCAGCACAGUGGGAAGCCAACACACAAUAUGAGGAAAUCGAUUCACAAAUCACUGGAAACUACUUUUCUUCCUCCUCUGUCCUCAGUUUUAAAAACCAUUAAUAAACAAAUUGAAUAAGAAAACUCAGUUAUGUUUCCUUAUAGUUGAUUAUCCUGUUGAAAAUAGCAAUACAAUUUAGUAAACAAAGUUUAAGAAGAUAUGCUCCAGUGUGUGUCACAAAUAAGGGUUACAGAGAAACAGUUUACCAUGCAGUGAAGUUCAUUUAUAGAAUGUGCUUCAAAAACAAUAGGUGGCAAAGAGCUAUAUGCAAAAUCCAAUUAUCAGAGUAUUAGACAUUUACAACUUUGCAUCACAAUUGUUUUGUAAUCAUC
This is a non-coding RNA of Heterocephalus glaber (naked mole-rat), 2746 nucleotides long. The record is from RefSeq and is a predicted model, not a curated record. Lineage: Eukaryota; Metazoa; Chordata; Mammalia; Rodentia; Bathyergidae.